ACGCUGGCGGCGUGCCUAAUACAUGCAAGUAGAACGCUGAAGGAGGGGCUUGCUUCUCUGGAUGAGUUGCGAACGGGUGAGUAACGCGUAGGUAACCUGCCUGGUAGCGGGGGAUAACUAUUGGAAACGAUAGCUAAUACCGCAUAAGAGUAGAUGUUGCAUGACAUUUGCUUAAAAGGUGCAAUUGCAUCACUACCAGAUGGACCUGCGUUGUAUUAGCUGGUUGGUGAGGUAACGGCUCACCGAGGCAACGAUACAUAGCCGACCUGAGAGGGUGAUCGGCCACACUGGGACUGAGACACGGCCCAGACUCCUACGGGAGGCAGCAGUAGGGAAUCUUCGGCAAUGGACGGAAGUCUGACCGAGCAACGCCGCGUGAGUGAAGAAGGUUUUCGGAUCGUAAAGCUCUAUUGUAAGAGAAGAACGAGUGUGAGAGUGGAAAGUUCACACUGUGACGGUAUCUUACCAGAAAGGGACGGCUAACUACGUGCCAGCAGCCGCGGUAAUACGUAGGUCCCGAGCGUUGUCCGGAUUUAUUGGGCGUAAAGCGAGCGCAGGCGGUUAGAUAAGUCUGAAGUUAAAGGCUGUGGCUUAACCAUAGUACGCUUUGGAAACUGUUUAACUUGAGUGCAAGAGGGGAGAGUGGAAUUCCAUGUGUAGCGGUGAAAUGCGUAGAUAUAUGGAGGAACACCGGUGGCGAAAGCGGCUCUCUGGCUUGUAACUGACGCUGAGGCUCGAAAGCGUGGGGAGCAAACAGGAUUAGAUACCCUGGUAGUCCACGCCGUAAACGAUGAGUGCUAGGUGUUAGACCCUUUCCGGGGUUUAGUGCCGCAGCUAACGCAUUAAGCACUCCCGCCUGGGGAGUACGACCGCAAGGUUGAAACUCAAAGGAAUUGACGGGGGCCCGCACA
RNAcentral lists this ribosomal RNA (911 nucleotides) under uncultured bacterium. RNAcentral's name for it is "bacterial SSU rRNA". It matches the Rfam family "Bacterial small subunit ribosomal RNA", at positions 33 to 927 of the family's 1533-position model. The record is from RNAcentral.